AGGGUUUGAUCAUGGCUCAGGAUGAACGCUAGCGGGAGGCCUAACACAUGCAAGCCGAGCGGUAUUGUUUCUUCGGAAAUGAGAGAGCGGCGUACGGGUGCGGAACACGUGUGCAACCUGCCUUUAUCUGGGGGAUAGCCUUUCGAAAGGAAGAUUAAUACUCCAUAAUAUAUUGAACGGCAUCGUUUAAUAUUGAAAGCUCCGGCGGAUAGAGAUGGGCACGCGCAAGAUUAGCUAGUUGGUGAGGUAACGGCUCACCAAGGCGAUGAUCCUUAGGGGGCCUGAGAGGGUGAUCCCCCACACUGGUACUGAGACACGGACCAGACUCCUACGGGAGGCAGCAGUGAGGAAUAUUGGUCAAUGGGUGCAAGCCUGAACCAGCCAUCCCGCGUGAAGGACGACUGCCCUAUGGGUUGUAAACUUCUUUUGUAUAGGGAUAAACCUACUCUCGUGAGGGUAGCUGAAGGUACUAUACGAAUAAGCACCGGCUAACUCCGUGCCAGCCGCCGCGGUAAUAC
RNAcentral lists this ribosomal RNA (518 nucleotides) under uncultured bacterium. RNAcentral describes it as "bacterial SSU rRNA". It matches the Rfam family "Bacterial small subunit ribosomal RNA", at positions 8 to 526 of the family's 1533-position model. The record is from RNAcentral.